UACAGAGGGGGCAAGCGUUGUUCGGAAUUACUGGGCGUAAAGGGCGCGUAGGCGGCCUUCUAAGUCGAACGUGAAAUCCCCGGGCUCAACCCGGGAACUGCGUCCGAUACUGGAAGGCUUGAAUUCGGGAGAGGGAUGCAGAAUUCCAGGUGUAGCGGUGAAAUGCGUAGAUAUCUGGAGGAAUACCGGUGGCGAAGGCGGCAUCCUGGACCGACAUUGACGCUGAACGGCGAAAGCUAGGGGAGCAAACGGG
RNAcentral lists this ribosomal RNA (253 nucleotides) under uncultured bacterium. RNAcentral describes it as "partial 16S ribosomal RNA". It matches the Rfam family "Bacterial small subunit ribosomal RNA", at positions 524 to 776 of the family's 1533-position model. The record is from RNAcentral.